Molecule: ribosomal RNA, 378 nt
Filed under: uncultured bacterium
Lineage: Bacteria
Description: bacterial SSU rRNA
Rfam family: Bacterial small subunit ribosomal RNA
Source: RNAcentral
GACGAACGCUGGCGGCGUGCUUAACACAUGCAAGUCACGGGGGCCCGCAAGGGUAACCGGCGAACGGGUGCGUAACACGUGAGCAACCUGCCGAUCUGAGGGGGAUAGCCGGCCCAACGGCCGGGUAAUACCGCAUACGUUCUCGAGGGGACAUCCCCAUGAGAAGAAACCUCCGGGGCAGAUCGAGGGGCUCGCGGCCUAUCAGCUAGUUGGUGUGGGUAACGGCCCACCAAGGCGACGACGGGUAGCNGGUCUGAGAGGAUGGCCAGCCACAUUGGGACUGAGAGACGGCCCAGACUCCUACGGGAGGCAGCAGUGGGGAAUAUUGCACAAUGGGCGCAAGCCUGAUGCAGCAACGCCGCGUGCGGGAUGACGGCC